UCCAAUUGAGAAAUCAGAAAUGCAACCCAAACAUUUCUUUGGUUAACUAUAGUAUUUACUUCUGCGCCCAGGAAAAUCAGAAGGAGAAUGGAGAAAGAGUGCCUAUAAUGUACUGCCUGUUGGUUUAAUCAGAUUGAUGGGGCCAAAAUUAGAUGAAUAAUAGUGAUUUGAUCUAUUUGAGGGACAAACUUGAGCUAAAAGCUGUCAAUGAUGGGCCAUCAAGUAAUGCAGCUUCUAAAUUCUCAUUGUGAUGUAAGGUA
Molecule: long non-coding RNA, 260 nt
Filed under: Olea europaea (common olive)
Lineage: Eukaryota; Viridiplantae; Streptophyta; Magnoliopsida; Lamiales; Oleaceae
Description: long non-coding RNA (OEUR_LNC006040)
Source: RNAcentral